This 479-nucleotide ribosomal RNA is filed under the name uncultured Alphaproteobacteria bacterium. RNAcentral describes it as "bacterial SSU rRNA". It matches the Rfam family "Bacterial small subunit ribosomal RNA", at positions 9 to 524 of the family's 1533-position model. Lineage: Bacteria; Pseudomonadati; Pseudomonadota; Alphaproteobacteria. The record is from RNAcentral.
GAGUUUGAUCCUGGCUCAGAACGAACGCUGGCGGCAUGCCUAACACAUGCAAGUCGAACGUGAUCCUGGUUUCGGCCGGGUGAAAGUGGCAGACGGGUGAGUAACGCGUGGGAAUCUACCUAGCUCUUCGGAAUAGCUCCGGGAAACUGGAAUUAAUACCGAGUACGCCCUACGGGGGAAAGAUUUAUCGGAGUUAGAUGAGCCCGCGUUGGAUUAGCUAGUUGGUGGGGUAAUGGCCUACCAAGGCGACGAUCCAUAGCUGGUCUGAGAGGAUGAUCAGCCACACUGGGACUGAGACACGGCCCAGACUCCUACGGGAGGCAGCAGUGGGGAAUAUUGGACAAUGGGCGAAAGCCUGAUCCAGCCAUGCCGCGUGAGUGAUGAAGGCCUUAGGGUUGUAAAGCUCUUUCGGUGGGGAAGAUAAUGACGGUACCCACAGAAGAAGCCCCGGCUAACUUCGUGCCAGCCGCCGCCGUAAU